RNAcentral lists this long non-coding RNA (1512 nucleotides) under Neodiprion lecontei (redheaded pine sawfly). RNAcentral's name for it is "uncharacterized LOC124293991, transcript variant X1". The record is from RNAcentral. Lineage: Eukaryota; Metazoa; Arthropoda; Insecta; Hymenoptera; Diprionidae.
CUUUGCGAAGAAACUUCUCGGUUCUUGAUCGAUGCGUACUGACGAUUGCCACGAUAGUUCGGGAUGGCCUCGUAGCAAAUGAAGAAUAUGACGCCUGUCCGAAGACCUUAUAGGGCUCUCUACCUCCCACCACAUCUUGUGUUUUAGCAUCCUGAUGCUAUUUGUCAUGCUCUUCGAAGGGGUGCAAUAAGUGAGCAGUAUAGUAAUUACGAGACAGGAUGUCAGGUUUAAAGAACAUCCGUUGAAAAAAUGAUGCAAAACGGUAGAGUAAAUAAUAGCGGAGACCCCGAUUGCUUUCACAUUCGUGAAAUAUUUCCCCACUUAAAUUCAAUUCGAUUGAUUUCAAUCACAAAGCUUGAGACUUUGUUUUAUCCUGUUUUCUCUACCACUGUUAUCUAGACUCUAUGCCCCACACAUCUUGAAUUGUGUUAAACCAUAUUUUUUAGCUUACAACUAGAUCAAAGAAUGCAAACGCAGCAUGUAAAAACAGGUAUAAUAUACCCACAAAAGAUGUCGCAAAAAUUUGAUAUCGUACGAAAUAGGUCACACGAUACUCGUAUUUAAAAGUUCCCCGUUUGUGUUAGCAUAUUUUUAGCGAUUGCCAUAGAGAAAAUAUAUCACAAGCCUCAAUUUCAGGAGAUCGCGCUUCAUAGCUGCUCAACCAUGGCUGUGAGCAAUUAUAUUCUACAGAACUUUGACUAAUCACAAUUGUCUCGUAACUUGAUUACUAAAAGCCACCACGUGAUAUAAACUCCCUCGAAAAGUUCUGACAAAUUUCGGGGCUAUUAAGCGAACAGGUGCAACUGAAAUUAUAACAUGUGCACAAAAACUGAAGGCCUGACUUGUAUACUUGAUUCGCUGACAAAACUUCCUUACGUCCGAUGACGCAGUUUAGAACCAACAACGGCAUGAUGCGUCUGCAUUUCGAGAUUGUGUGUUUCGUUGAUGCUCCUACCGGGCAAUUUUCAUAUCUAGGAGUACUUUUCAGUCCAAGCAUGUAAUUCCAAGAACUGUAACCAUCUCUUUGCGUUACCUGACACAAUCCCCAUGUUGCGUAACAGUACAACAUGUCUACUACGUGAGCUUCGAAACUUUGGAAUAACCAUCUUUGACCAGAAAUGAUAACAAAAUGUAGAUAAGGUUACGUCUUUUUUGGUGAUUCAACCAAUAACUGCUGAAAUAUGGAGAAUAUUUGGAAUUGCAGAAAAGAGCAAUGAGAGGUAAUUUACAUUCAGAAUAUUAUACGACUGCACAAGCUUUUCUUUGAUAAACGAGUUGUGCAUGAUUUAUUGUUUAGAUGAUAUAUUAUGUUGGUUGACCUAAAACAUAUAUGUAUUAUACUUGCAAUGGUACAAGUGUCAAUUAAUUCACGAGUACGUGGUCACAUGAGUAUAUUUUCACACCUAUUCGAGCAUAUGAAUUCGAUUUGUACAAAUAAGUUGUUUGUCAUCUAGAAAUAAGUUCGAUUUUGCUCUUAGCUAUUCGUUGGCAACGUUCGAUACUUAUCUUAUA